ACUGAAUAUGCCUCAAGCACCACAACCACAGCCUCAACCCCAACCACAACAUCCAGUUUCUCCUACAGUCACCAGAAAACCCAGAUCAUCAACACCUAAACCAUCAAAGUCUACAAAAUCUGAUGCCCCUUCUACUAAGAAGACCAGAACCUCUGUUGCUACACAAGUUCUGAAGACAAAGUCUGAUAAACCAGCAAACUCUGAUGCUGUAAACUCUGAUGCUGUAAACACUGAUCCUGUAAACUCUGAAGCUGCUUCUCCUCAAAAGCAGAAAAGAAGGAGACUGGUUGCAGCCUAUGAUUAUGAUGAUCUUGAACCUGCACAU
RNAcentral lists this long non-coding RNA (325 nucleotides) under Daucus carota (carrot). RNAcentral describes it as "long non-coding RNA (DCAR_LNC001744)". Lineage: Eukaryota; Viridiplantae; Streptophyta; Magnoliopsida; Apiales; Apiaceae. The record is from RNAcentral.